AAUAUUGCAAUUGACUGUGCGACGAUACGCCAUCCGUCACAACAAAUAUUUUCCCCAAUCUAAACCCUAAACCCACCCAACUCCAACUCCGCGGUUUCACGUUCGCCGAUUUCACGAACUCCCUCAUCUUCCCGUCUCCCCACUUCCAUGUCUUCCACUCCCAAACGCUUGCCUAAUCCAUUACUUCGCUGAUUCAACCACCACUACCGGCAUCGCCUUCUUCUCCCGUUCAGCUGCACGCGACCCCGAAGCCUCCGCCACUCAAUCCUUGCCACUGCGGCCGCACCUCCGCCAUUCCUCUAUCAAUCGCCGCUCUUCUCCGGUGCCUCCGACCAUUGUCCGCUGCCAAGUUUCAGCUGUGAGACGCCACUCUUCGAAAUUUCAUCUUCAUUGGUUGAGCCAACUGCGGGAGAGCCUGAGGUUCGGGUGUUCAUUUCGGACGGUGACGAUACUUGAGGCCAUAGGAUCUAUACUCAUCUCCUGCCUCGGUGAUUACACCAAAAAAGUGUGGCCAAAAUAUGUUGCAGUAUCAGGAAAAGGGACAGAGAGCAUUUGAGGAUAUGUUGUAGUAUCAUCAGGAAAAAGGCACUAUAAGCUUUGUAGAUAAGGAACUAAAGACGUUGGUGUGCUCAUUGUCUUGGAUUUGCAGCCUCAACAACACUAUGAAUCCAUUUCAUAUUUAAAAUGUUUUGUCUCUAGAAGGGAAUCCCCUUGGCAAGAUAAUGGUGUCUCAAAAAUGGAGUUUUGCCUAAACUUAAAAAGCUGGAGCAAGAGCUGCUGAAUCUCAAAAGAUUUGCGGGUUCGGAGGAGCUAUCUAAGGUUCAAUUGCAAAUGCAUAAACAGGCCAAGAGAUAUCAGGGAUUGGCAGUUCCUGUCUGCGAUCGAAUGAAGCUAAGCAAUUCGAAUGAGGCCGCUACCAACUUGGAGUUUCAAACGCAAUGGCAAACUAAGUUCUUGCUUGAAUGGUAAUGAAAAACUUAUAGCCAUUUAUGCUUACAAUCCCUUUUCUAGUUGAGUUGACGCAGACAGGCGGCUCGCAAUUUUUUAUGGAGUCACCGCAAAUGCUGGUAUUUCUUUAUUUAUUUGUUGACAUUGAUUAAUAAUUUUUUCAAAUUUAAUUAUUAAUUUUAUUUA
Molecule: long non-coding RNA, 1134 nt
Organism: Andrographis paniculata
Lineage: Eukaryota; Viridiplantae; Streptophyta; Magnoliopsida; Lamiales; Acanthaceae
Exons: 7
Source: RefSeq, a predicted model, not a curated record